UUGAUUUGGAGCAAUGAUUGAUCCUAUGCGGCAAGUGCUGUUGCUCAAAAUCACAUAAAUUUGGAAGAAUGAGCCUGCUUUUGCGUGAAUCCGGUUAUUGCUCUCUGCCACAGACUAUAGGAUUCCCAGGCGUCCAACUUGACUAUAAAUUACGCUACACAACUCUCUGCUCUGCCAAUUUUAGUUGAUUCUUCGCAAUGAUUGAUCCUGGACGGCAAGUGCUGUUCCGAGGAAUCAUAUAAAAUUGGAAGAGUGAGCCUGGUUGUCGCGGAAUUCAUCUUUGUCAAAAACUUUCAAUAUCCGAAUCUUUUCUUCAAGCUACCUUGUGGAUAGAACUGCCGUUUAUUCUUUCCAUAGUUCUCUUCUCUUCAAAAUUCAGGUUGAUUUGGAGCAAUGAUUGUUCCUAUGCGGCAAGUGCUGUUCCUCAAAAUCACUUGAAUUUGGAAGAGUGAGCCUGCUAUGAAUAGAAAUAUAGCAAUCCUUUCCGGUCGCUUGAAGGAAAAGAGCCGGAGCUUCCAAGGUCUUUCUUUUAGGUAGAGGGAUCUGCGUGUCGAGAUUUGGUCAACUAUGAAGACCUAUUCAACUAGUAGUUCUCUGCUAUUUCAAAUUCAAUUUAAUUGAAAGCAAUGAAUGUUCCUGAGCGUCAAGUGCUGUUGCUCUUAAUUACGUGAAUUUGAAAUAGUGAGGCUCACUAUCUAGUUGAAUACGUACUUCUAUGUCGCCAUGAUCUGGACAGGUGAUUUGUCCCGAGGAUUAAUUAGAAUUAGUAAAUUGUGAUCUACAAACUGCAAUUGUACUUGAAAUUACAAAACCAUAUUUCGUCAGAAAAGCUCGCAUUUGGCCACUCACAGAACCCACUGAAUACAAGGCCUAAAUUAAUUAUUUUCCUGUCAACAUUCGUUGACAAAAUAACUUAGAACUAAUUUACUUAAUUAGAGAGAAAAACAAUGAUUACUUCUCUUUUUUUUAAUGACGUCACAAGAUUUCACUUGGACCAGAUUUUAUUUUCAUAUACUCACAUUCAAACAUCUCAUUUAACAAACAUUCAUCAAGCCACUCAAUCAUUUCAUUUCCACUCAUUCCCAUUCAUAAUUUUCCAGUUAUUCCAUUCAUUCACACUUUCCCAUUCAAUAAUCACAUUCAUCCUACUUUAUUACUACUAAAACAUGAUUCUAGGGCGCCCUUAAUUUAUGGUUGUUUCUUCGACCACUCUAGCGUCUCUUAUUCUAAGAGAACUGGUGAUCUUUCUGCGAAACUUAAAUUUAAUGAACCGAUCUCAAUGCUGCUUCUUUACUCUCUCGCAUGCGAGAAAAAAUUGCAAGCAACAUGAGAGGCUCUUAACGAUUACAGCGAAUGUCGACCAUACCAGGUUGAAAAAGCCUUUUACUCAGCCCUGUGUAUGUCGACUAAAUAAAGAAAGCUCUUGUGUGGGUGUGAAAUGUCAAAACUUGUUUACAUUUCGUCCGAAAUAGAAGAUAAAUCACCGUGAACCGUGAAGAUUUUUCACUGUUUCCACGGUUUCCCAACAAUUUGCAGGAAAAAAGUUAAGGUGCAACUACGAAUAAAUUAUUGGCUGCAUAGUGUCAUAGUGAACGAAGACCAUAAUAAAAAAUAAAAAUGAACAGAAAAGAAA
Molecule: long non-coding RNA, 1633 nt
Organism: Aedes aegypti (yellow fever mosquito)
Lineage: Eukaryota; Metazoa; Arthropoda; Insecta; Diptera; Culicidae
Exons: 2
Source: RefSeq, a predicted model, not a curated record